CUACCCCUGAAGCUUACUGUUAGUGGUCGAGUUUUUCUGGAAGUGGGCUUCCGCGAUCGCGGGGACCAACGCCCUGAGCUCUUGUGCCCAAAGGGGAUCGCCAGGUUUUUUGAUGCGGAUCGAAAGGGACUGGCCCCGGAGCCUACAACCUGACGCAGGUGGGACUUGGGGAAAUGUCGAGAAACCUAGGUCUGGGACUUGAGUUGGCUUCCAGGGCACACAUUCUUGUUCAGAAGAAACACAUUGCAAAAAUCGGGAGGUGACGGGCAGAUGAAGUGUCGGCGCUUCGCCUCGGGACUCCAGUGCAACCUAUGGGGCUUUUGGAAAUGAGGAAGUCGAUGACUCUGCAGGGACUCCUCUGACCCAGGAGCAGAUGGCGCUCGUCUGGGCACUCCCCAGGAGAAAAGGUGCAUCGGGAAGCAGCCUGGCUUGUGGAUGGUGGACAAGGUGGAGGAGAGAGAAUUCCUUGGCAGUAGCAUUAUGAACAAAUGCAGGGCUGAGAAACAGCAUGGUGGCCUUGACUAAGUUUAUGGCGACAGCAGGUAAGAUAAGGAAACAGCUGAAUUUAUGUCACUUGCCCAAUGUCACACAACUAGCAAGACUGACUCCUUGAAGCUCAUCACAUGUAAGAACUGCUUUAGAGCAGUGGUCUUCAAACUUUGAAAGCAUAUCCUGUUGAAAAAUUAUGUAUCCACUUCUACAUUUUUAAGUUGACAUCUAAAAAUUUCACAUCAUAAGUUUAAACAGUUGUAAAAAAUGUGAUUUCUGGUAUAUUGUGAAUUAUGACAUUUUAAAAUGUAUUCCAUCACUCCUCUAAAUGUAUUCAGUGGUUUCUAAAUACCAUAGUGAUUUAAAUCUAUCAUCAAUUUAAAAAAAAAAACAAGCUUUUUUUUUUAACAUUAGAUAUUUUGCAUCUUUUUCUCUCUUUUUUUUUUUUUUUUUGAGACAGACUCUCACUGUGUCACCCAGGCUGGAGUGCAGUGGCACAAUCUUGGCUCAUUGCAACUUCCACUUCCCAGGUUCAAGUGAUUCUCCUGCCUCAGCUUCCCAAGUAGCUGGGAUUACAGGCGUACGCCACCAUGCCCAGUUAACUUUUGUAUUUUUAGUAGAGACGGCGUUUCAUCAUGUUGGCUAGGCUGGUCUUGAACUCCUGACCUCAAGUGAUCUGCCCACCUUGGUCUUCCAAAGUACUGGGACUACAGGCAUGAGAAACCAAGCCCGGCCAUCUUUCUCUUUUUUACUUGAAUUCAGUCUUUUUAUUCUUCUUCCAUUCCUCUCUCUCUCUCUCUUUUUUUUUUUGAGACAGUCUCACUAUGUCACCCAGGCUGGAGUGCAGUGGCGCAAUCUCGGCUCACUGCAGCCUCUACCUCCCAGAUUCAAGCGAUUCUCCUGCCUCAGCCUCCUGAGUAGUUGGGACUACAGGUGCGUGCCACCAUGCCCGGCUAAUUUUUUUGUAUUUUUAGUAGAGAUGGGGUUUCACCAUUUUGGCCAGGAUGGUCUCAAUCUCCUGACCUCGUGAUCUGCCUGCCUUGGCCUCCCAAAGUGCUGGGAUCACAGGCAUGAACCACCGCUCCUGGCCUCUUUCUUUCUUUUCUGUUCUUUUCCAUCUGCCCUCCCCAAACAUCUCCCUCCCUACCUCCCUCCCUCCCUACUUUCCUUGCUUCCUUCCUUCCUCUCUUUCUGUUUCUCUAUUUUUCUUUUUUUCCUUCUUUUUUGAGACCAUCUCACUCUGUUGCCCAGGAUGGAAUGCAGUGGCACAAUCUUAGCUCACUACAACCUCUGCCUCCCAGGUUCAAGCAAUUCUCCUGCCUCAGCCUCCCAAGUAGCUGGGACCACAGGCAGAUGCCACCACACCAAGCUAAAGUUUUUUUUUUAUUUUUCAUAGAGACAGGGGAUCUCAUUAUGUUGCCCAAACUGGUCGUGAACUCCUGGGCUCAAGUGCUCUGCCUGCCUCGGCCUCCCAAAGUGUAGGGAUUACAGGCGUGAGCCACUGUGCACGUUGGGACUAAUAUUUUCUUAUUCGUAUUUCCAUGGCAGAAUAUUCCUCACUGCUAGAAUGAGACCAGAGGUCAAAAUCAGCUCUAUGUCUGUUUGUCAUUCUUAUGGAUAUGAGAAAUUGUGUUCACACAAGUAGAUAGGAAUGAAAGGAAUUUUGAAAUAGAAAUGCAGUUCUAAUUUUUCUAACUUCCAUAUUACGUGCCAAAAAUCACAUAAUAAUCUAUCAUAAGAUUCUCUAGUCCUCUCUCAUCUGGUGAUCUUCUUUUCCACGCUUUCUUUGCAACCCCCUCAUGUGGCCAACAUUUAGAGUAAUGUUUUCCAACUUCUUUUUCUUCAGCUCACAGUAAUAAAUACAUUUUACAUCUUGACUCCUGAAUGUAUAUGAAUUUAUAACGGAAGGUUUUAUAAUUCACUCCUUUCCCUUGCUACUUAUAAGUAAAAGUAAAAAGUUAGUAUUAAAUAUGCAUUUAAUCAUAUUUAAAUAGUCGUGCAUUGUUUAAUGACAGGGAUACAUUCUGAGAAAUGUGUUGUUAGGUGAUUUCAUCCUUGUGCAGACUCACAGAGUGCACUUAUACAAACCUAGAUCAUACAGCCUACUACACACCUAGGCUGUUUGCUAUAACCUAUUGCUCCUAGGCUAUAAACCUGUGCAGCAUGUUACUGUACUGAGUAUUGUAGGCAAUUAUAACACAAUGAUAAUAUUUGUAUACCUAAACAUAUCGAAACAUAGAAAAGGCACAGUAAAAAUACAACAUAAAAGAUUUUUUAAAAUGGUACACCUGGCCGGGUGCAGUGGCUCACACCUGUAAUACUAACACUUUGGGAGGCCAAGGCAGGUGGAUCACUUGAGGUCAGGAGUUUGAAACCAGCCUGGCCAACAUGGUGAAACUCCGUCUUUACUAAAAUACAAAAAAAUUAGCCAGUAUGGUGGCAGGCACCUGUAAUCCCAGAUACUUGGGAGAUUGAGGCAGUAGAAUCACUUGAACCUGGGAGGCGGAGGUUGCAGUGAGCCAAGAUCAUGCCACUGCACUCCAGCCUGGGCAAUAGAGCAAAACUCCAUCUCCAAACAAAAAAAAGUAUACUUGUAUAGGACACUUAUGGAGCUUGCAGGACUGGAAGUUGCUCUGGGUGAGUCAGUGAGUGGUGAAUGAAUGUGAAGACCUAGGACAAUACUGUACACUACUGUAGACUUUAUAAACACUACAUUUAGGCUACACUAAAUUUGUAAAAAAUAUUUUUCUUCAAUAGUAAAUUAACCUUAGCUUACUAUAACUUUUACUUUACAAACUUUUAAAUUAUUUAUUUAUUUUAUUUUAUUUAUUUAUUUUUUUGAGAUGGAGUCUUGCUCUGUCGCCCAGGCUAGAGUGCAGUGGCGCGAUCUCAGCUCACUGAAACCUCUGCCUCCCGGGUUCAAGUGAUUCUCCUGCCUCCGCCACGCGAUGCCUCUUCAUGGGUGGUGGAUGAAGAAACUGAACAGGGCCAUGAUCCUUAUCUGUAAUUUCCCGGCUACCACACUGCUUUGGUGGUCUUCCCUCGUCUCUUCCUGGGUAGAAACAACUACCUGGAGAUCCCAAUGUUCUUGUCAGUGCACUUUUCAUGGACUGCAGUGGUAAGACGAUGUGUUGGAUGCCCAAACACAAACCAACCUACUUCAUACUGGGUGGAAUUUUUAUGAUUAGCGCCCUUCUCUCAUUCUGCUUGAACUUUUUGUUGCUGACCUUCCCUCAGUUAUUCCCUGAGACCCAGAAACAGUAUAUUUUCUGUGCAUCCAUCUGCAUUGUCACAGGAGCCCUCUACCUUCGCAAUUCCCGGUGCUGUGGAGCUGUCAGAGUUUUAACAUCUCAACCAAGCCACAUGGAUACUAUUUCCUCAGAAAAGACAAAAUUGAUCCAAGCAGAAGAGUGAACUCACCGAAGAGGACUCUCUACCCAUAACUGGGGAUGCCUCAGCCACUCACACUUACUCCAAGAUUAGUGUCACUGAUUAUGGAAAGAAUUGACUUCUUCCCCUGGUCUUGCUCAUUUUUCUAGAGCCCAGGACAAUAAAUGUGUUUUACGGCAGAGAAAAGUGAAGACGGGUGGAAUUGUGUGUGUUGAGAGAGAAGCAGAUAGGCAAUCUUACGCUUUGGCUCCUAGAUUAUGCAGGUGCCUCUUUUCUAUCAUCUCCAUAAAUCCUACCCUUACUGCGCUUCCUAUUCUGCAGGGGUAUUUUGUUGUCCGUAACAGAACUCCUCCUCUGUCUGUAAAGUUUAGGUUUUGAUAAAAAAUCCUCUUCCCUCCAGAAGCGUCUACUAAAAAUACAAAAAAAUUAGCUGGGUGUGGUGGCAUCCACCUGUAGUCCCAGUUACUCAGGAGACUGAGGCAGGAGAAUCGCUUGAAACUGGGAGGCGGAGGUCGCAGUGAGCCAAGAUCAUGCCACCGCACUCCAGCCUGGGUGAGAGUGAUACUCCGUCUCAAAAAACAAAUGAACAAUAAAAAACAAACAAAAAAGAAAUAAAUGUCUAGGGCUAGGUGCCAUGGCUCAUGCCUAUAAUCCCAGCACUUAGGGAGACAUAGGUGGGCAGAUCACUUGAGGUCAGGAUUUCGAGACCAGCUGGACAACAUGGCAAAACCCUGUCUCUGUUAAAAAUACAAAAAUUAGCCAGGUUUGGUGGCCCACACCCAUUGGGAGGCUGAGGCAUGAAAGUCACUUGAACCUGUGGAACCUGGGAGGUGGAGGUUGCAGGGAGCCAAGAUCAUGCCACUGCAGGUGAGCCUGGGUGACAGAGCAAGACUCUGUCUCAAAAAAAAAAAAAAAAAAAAAAAAAAGAGAGAGAAAGAAAUAAGUGUCUAGAAUAUUUUAAAGGCUAUGGAAAUAAAGCAGGAAUAUUUUCAUGAAAGGCAGCUUAUAAAGGAUGAGGAUGGUUUUCUCUUUAGGGUAAAGGAACUAAUAUUUAUUAAGCACUUACUAUUUAUCAGGCAGUAUGUGACAUACAAUGUAUGUGGGAGUGUGUGUGUGUCUUUCCUCACAAUUAUUUUAUAGAGUAGGGGUUAGUACAAUGAAGAUGUUGUAGCUUAGAGAGAGGAAGUGGCAAAACCAGAAUUGGAAAACAAGACUGUUGGGCUCCAAGGUCCAUGCACUUUUCCCCUUUAAAGGUCUUAGGUAAAGAGUAGACCCAUUUGGAUAGGCCCAAACUAACAGUCUAUCUCCAGAGUCCUUGUCCUAAAUUCUUUACCCCACUGCCUUCUGAGAGGAAGUUCAUCUUUUUACCAGGGAGUAGCCACCUUCAGAAGAAUUCUCCUGUCUAUAUAACCAAAUUAAUAGAAUCCUGGUAAAUCAACUGGAAUGUUAACUGUUCUGAUUUUCAACUGUUUUUACCUUCAUCAUUAAUACUGAAUAUGGACUGUAGGUUGGAUAACUGCUGUUCAAGGUAAGGAACUCUGAGCAGCAGCCUUGAGCUACCAAGGCAUUAAAUAGGAUUUUUGCUUAAAAAUCCUAUAUUUUUGCUUAAAAAUAUUAAAAAUAUGACUGAGUAUAUGUAUAUAUUCCCCCCACAUUCCAAAGAUAAACACUGUUAAGCAUGUAAAGCACAUUUUACUGUAUAUAUAUGGGUGGCAUAUGUGUGUGAGUGUGUGUGUGUAUACAUAUAUACACAUACACUUCUAGACAUUUAUAUACAUGUGUUGUGUGUAUAUGUUGUGUAUGUUUUUAAAAAGGGAUUGUCUUUGGCUGGGCACAGUGGCUCACGCCUGUAAUCCCAGCACUCUGGGAGGCUGAGGCAGGAGGAUUCCUUGAGCUCAGGGUUUUAAGAGCAGCCUGGCCAACAUGGCAAAACCCCAUCUCUACUAAAAAUACAAAAAUUAAAAAAAAGAAAUUUAUCUGGAUGUGGUGGCGCCACCUGUAAUCUCAGCUACUUGGGAGGCUGAGGCAGGAGAAUCGCUUGAAGCUGGGAGGCAGAGGUUGCAGUAAGCUGAGAUUGCUCCACUGCAUUCCAGCCUGGGUGACAGAGUGAGACCCCAUCUCAAAAAACAAAGUUGGGGCAGGGGGGGAUUUGCUAUCCUAUUAAAAAUUUUUGGAUCUUUUUUUUUAAAAACUUAAUGCUAUUUCUUGAACACCUUUACUUAAAGAAAAUAGAUAGCUAAAUAUUGCAGUGUGAAGAAAAAGGUCAAUAAAUAUUUGUUGAAUUAAUGUAACAUUUCCUUUGAUCACCAGCUGCUUCUAAUUCCCUACUUCAGGUAUUGUUGAAUACUACAUUGCUUUAGGCAAAAAGUGUUUUAUUUCUCACUGGAUCAAAAACAAUUAAGGAUGUCAUUUUCUCUUCUUCCUUUGAGUUCCAAUAAAUCUACAUUUGUUCUUGUUCCCUUGUUUAGAGGUGCAAUGGAAAAGAAGUUUGCAGAUUGUACUCCUGCCUGGUUGGAUAAACUCAUUUGAAAAUAAGCUCCUGUUUUGUGCAGAUGCAAAUUUAAAUGUGCUAUUUGUAACUAAUCACUGAUAAAAUAGAGAUUUCCAAAAUAUAUUGAGAAAAAGAGCUGCAGAAUAAUUUGCAAGUUUCAUAAAAUCAGGAAGAAUGCAUUUAAAAACUAAAGUAAGCUAGGAAGGAUGGCUCAUGCCAGUAAUCCUAGCACUUUUGGUGACUGAGGUGGGAGGAUCACUUGAGCCCAGGAGUUUAAGGCCAGCCUGUGCAACAUAGAUCUCAUCUCUACAAAAAAAUUAAAAAAUUAGCUAGAUAUGGUGGCAUAUACCUAUAGUUCCAGCUACUCAGGAGGCAGAGAUGGGAGGAUCACUUGAGCCUAGGAGGCUGAACCUGCAGUGAGUCAUGAUUGCACCACUGCAUUCUAGCUUGGAUGACACAGUGAGACCCUGUCUCAAAAUAAACAAAACAAAACAAAAAAGAAAAGAAAAACUAUGGUAGAAGUGGUAGGGGGAAUUGAGGGAAUGGGGGAAAGGAAAGGCCAAAGACUUUUUCUAUGCCUUUUAAUACUUUCUCAUUUUUGAACCAUCUGAAUAUAUAUGACUUGGGCAAAAAAAAUUUAAGCAAAAAAUAUUGCAUCUGUUUCUUUCAUUGUAACUAUGCUAAGUUUGGUGAAAAUUGUUCUUUAUUUUUAAAUUUUGUUUUCUCUUACACUAAACUAUUGUGAUGGUUAAUUUUAUGUGUUAAUUAGACUGGGCCAUGAUAUGCCCAGAUAUUUGGUCAAUCAAUAUUCUGAGUGUUCUGUGAGUGUAUUUUUGGAUGAGUUUGACUUAUUAAUAUUAUUGUUAAUAUUAUUUUUUAGACAGGGUCUCUCUCUCUGUCACCCAGGCUGGAGUGCAGUGGUACAAUCUUCGCUCACUGCAGCCUCAACCUCCUGGGCUCAAGUGAUCUUCUCACCUCAGCCUCCUGAGUAGCUGGGACUACAGGCAUGUGCUACCACACCUGGCCAAUUUUUCUAUUUUUUGUAGAGACAGGGUUUCACCAUGUUGCCCAAGCAGGUCUUGAACUCCUGGUCUCAAGCAAUCCCUCUACCUCUACUUUCCAAAGUGCUGGAAUUACAGGUGUAAGCCACCAUGCCUGGCUGAGUUUAACAUUUUUAAAUUUAAAUUUAAAUUUUUAUUUUUAUUUUUUUGAGACAGAGUUUCACUCUUGUUGCCCUGGCUGGAGUACAAUGGUGCAAUCUCGGCUCACCACAACGUCUGCCUCCAGGUUCAAGCGAUUCUCCUGCCUCAGCCUCCCAAGUAGCUGGGAUUACAGGCACCUGCCACCAGGCCCAGUUAAUUUUUGUAUUUUUAGUGGAGAUUGGGUUUCACCAUGUUGGCUAGGCUGGUCUCGAACUCCUGACCUCAGGUGAUCCACCUGCCUCAGCCUCCCAAAGUGUUGGGAUUACAGACAUGAGCCACCACGCCCGGCCUUAAAUUUUUAUUUAUAUUUUGAGGGGGUCUCAUUGUGUUGCCCAGACUGGAGUGCAAUGGCACGAUCAUGGCUCACUGCAAUCUCCACCUCCUAAGCUUGAUUCUCCUGCCUCUGCCUCCUGAGUAGCUGGAACCACAGGUCUGCA
This 8009-nucleotide long non-coding RNA is filed under the name Homo sapiens (human). RNAcentral describes it as "non-protein coding lnc-HIST1H2AI-3:14". Lineage: Eukaryota; Metazoa; Chordata; Mammalia; Primates; Hominidae. The record is from RNAcentral.